RNAcentral lists this transfer RNA (75 nucleotides) under Candidatus Pacearchaeota archaeon. RNAcentral describes it as "tRNA-Arg". It matches the Rfam family "tRNA". From Rfam's summary of the family: Transfer RNA (tRNA) molecules are approximately 80 nucleotides in length. Lineage: Archaea; Nanobdellati. The record is from RNAcentral.
GCGCCCGUAGCUCAGCCUGGAUAGAGCGCUUGCCUUCUAAGCAAGGGGUCGUAGGUUCAAAUCCUAUCGGGCGCG